AGUUCUUUCGGAGAUAUCCGAUAAAAUUGGAACGAUACAGAGAAGAUUAGCAUGGUCCCUGCGCAAGGAUGACACGCACAAAUUGAGAAAUGAUCUAAAUUUUU
Molecule: small nuclear RNA, 104 nt
Organism: Raphanus sativus (radish)
Lineage: Eukaryota; Viridiplantae; Streptophyta; Magnoliopsida; Brassicales; Brassicaceae
Source: RefSeq, a predicted model, not a curated record